Molecule: ribosomal RNA, 468 nt
Filed under: uncultured bacterium
Lineage: Bacteria
Description: partial 16S ribosomal RNA
Rfam family: Bacterial small subunit ribosomal RNA
Source: RNAcentral
GACGAACGCUGGCGGCGUGCUUAACACAUGCAAGUCGAACGGAAAGGCCCUGCUUUUGUGGGGUGCUCGAGUGGCGAACGGGUGAGUAACACGUGAGUAACCUGCCCUUGACUUUGGGAUAACUUCAGGAAACUGGGGCUAAUACCGGAUAGGAGCUCCUGCUGCAUGGUGGGGGUUGGAAAGUUUCGGCGGUUGGGGAUGGACUCGCGGCUUAUCAGCUUGUUGGUGGGGUAGUGGCUUACCAAGGCUUUGACGGGUAGCCGGCCUGAGAGGGUGACCGGCCACAUUGGGACUGAGAUACGGCCCAGACUCCUACGGGCGGCAGCAGUGGGGAAUAUUGCACAAUGGGCGGAAGCCUGAUGCAGCAACGCCGCGUGCGGGAUGACGGCCUUCGGGUUGUAAACCGCUUUCGCCUGCGACGAAGCGUGAGUGACGGUAAUGGGUAAAGAAGCACCGGCUAACUACGUG